CCUUCGCCCCGCCCCGUCCGCGCAGCUCGUCCGGCCCGCCCGCAGGCCAGCUUCUCUCGGGAGCCUCCACCCAGGCGCAUGGCUCCAUGAAGCAAGAGGAGGAGGCAGAGCGCGAGAGAUCCCGUCCGCCCCAGCCGCGUCUGGGCCAGGAGAAAAGCAAAACCAUAUUCCUGCUGCUGUCAGUUUUGAUGCACUGAGAAAACUUCAGAGACCUAAGCUUUUUCCAGAGAAGAGAAGCUUUACUGGUGUUCCAGCCCUAAGGCUCAUAUGACAUUAACAGACAAGACACUUUUCAGAAAGACAGAUGGAGUCUCUCUGUCACCCAGACUGGAAUGCAGUGGCAUGAUCUUGGUUCACUGAAACCUCUGCCUUUCUGGUUCAAGCAAUUCUCAUGUUUCAGCCUCCCAGGCAACGUGUUGGACCUUCCGGAGCUUCUCAGAAGACAGAGGGUUUUCUUUUGAGGCUGUUGUACAGUGGCCUGAUUAUAGCUCACUGUAGCCUCGAAAUUCUGGGCCGAAAUGAUCCGCCUGCCUCAGCCUCCAAAGUAGCUGAGACUACAGGUAUUGUUUGGGUUUUAAUACAGACAAAUCAACUCAAUCAAAGAAACCAACUCAAAGAAAGAUGGGUCUACAUACAACAAAACUGAACAAAAUCUGCAAGAAGAGUGAUUCAUACAUGGGCUAUUGAGGCAACAUGAGAUGGACAUUAAUCGACUAAGUAAAAAACAGAUUUCUUGAAGAAUUAAUAAAGAACUUUUGUUUUGGA
RNAcentral lists this long non-coding RNA (765 nucleotides) under Homo sapiens (human). RNAcentral describes it as "HSALNT0359068". The record is from RNAcentral. Lineage: Eukaryota; Metazoa; Chordata; Mammalia; Primates; Hominidae.